This 253-nucleotide ribosomal RNA is filed under the name uncultured bacterium. Its description in RNAcentral is "partial 16S ribosomal RNA". It matches the Rfam family "Bacterial small subunit ribosomal RNA", at positions 524 to 776 of the family's 1533-position model. The record is from RNAcentral.
UACGUAGGGUGCAAGCGUUGUCCGGAAUUAUUGGGCGUAACGAGCUCGUAGGCGGUCUGUUGCGUCGGCUGUGAAAACCCGGGGCUCAACUCCGGGCCUGCAGCCGAUACGGGCAGACUAGAGUGUGGUAGGGGAGACUGGAAUUCCUGGUGUAGCGGUGGAAUGCGCAGAUAUCAGGAGGAACACCGAUGGCGAAGGCAGGUCUCUGGGCCAUUACUGACACUGAGAAGCGAAAGCAUGGGGAGCGAACAGG